UCUGAGCGCCAGAUGGAGUUUAUUUGCAGAGUGGCUGGGGCGAGAGAAGGCAAAACACAUCACAGAGAGGGUGGUGCCAGGUGGGAGGGAGACCCGGCCGGAGAGAAGGAGAGAGGACGGCGGGAGGACAGGGACGGAGGGGAGGCUGCGCCACACCAGACAGGCUAAUUUAUUUAACAGACAUUUCCUGAUCCCUGCUGCAGGCCAUCGCUGAGUACAUGGGGUCUGUCAGCAGACGGAAGGCGGCAAAGACCCCCGACUCCAGGAGCUCACAAAAUAACCACAAAAAAUAAGCCAUGCAGUUAGAAGAGGAUACACGUCCUAGAGCAACAGCAGAGUGGGGGGAUGAGGAGGCAGACAGUAAGCAUUUACAACGCGCAGCUGUAAUCCCAGCACUGCGGGAGGCCGAGGUGGGAGACUCGCUCCAGGCCAGGAAUUUGAGACUAGCCUGAGCAACACAGCAAGACCCGCCCCCAACCAUCUUUUUAAAAAGUUAAAAAUUAGCCUAGCGUGGUGGCGCAUGCCUGUAGUCCCAGCUACUCAGGAGGCUGAGGCAGGAGGAUUGUUUGAGGCCAGGAGUUGACACCCACCUGGGCAACAUAGCAAGACCCCUCCAUCUCUAAAAAAAGUUAAAAAUUAGCCUAGCGUGGUGGCGCAUGCCUGUAGUCCCAGCUACUCAGGAGGCUGAGGCAGGAAGAUUGCUUGAGCUGUGGAUUUUGAGACUGCAGUGAGCAGAGAUAGCACCACUGCACUCCAGCCUGGGAGACAGAGCGAGACCCUGUCUCAAAAAAAAUAAAAAUGCGAGGGGUGAGGGGAUGAGCCUAAAGUGCCCUGAGCAAACAGCAAGUGCAGAGGCCCUGGGGAAGGUGGCGGCAGGUAUGGAGGGACAUGCAGAGGUCUGAGGCCCUCAUGGACCAAGGGAGGAAUGCAGCCUGCAGAGAGGAGAGAGGAGGAGGACGCCGAGGGGAAUCCCAAGCCCCAUGGAUGAAAACACACCGAGGAGACACCAAAAGCCGUUGGCCUUGGGGGCCUCGGGUGGGGCGGCUUCCCUUUCUGCAUCCCCCGGGGCCUCCUCAC
This 1077-nucleotide long non-coding RNA is filed under the name Homo sapiens (human). RNAcentral describes it as "HSALNT0262505". The record is from RNAcentral. Lineage: Eukaryota; Metazoa; Chordata; Mammalia; Primates; Hominidae.